This 657-nucleotide ribosomal RNA is filed under the name uncultured Armatimonadota bacterium. Its description in RNAcentral is "bacterial SSU rRNA". It matches the Rfam family "Bacterial small subunit ribosomal RNA", at positions 43 to 732 of the family's 1533-position model. Lineage: Bacteria; Bacillati; Armatimonadota. The record is from RNAcentral.
CGUGCUAGGUAUGCAAGUCGAACGGCCCGCAAGGGUAGUGGCGAACGGUCGAGUAACACGUAGACAACCUGCCUCCAGGUGGGGGAUAACAGCGGGAAACCGCUGCUAAUACCGCAUGUGGCAGUAUCCGGCAUCGGGUAACUGCUAAAGGAGCAAUUCGCUUGGGGAUGGGUCUGCGGCCUAUCAGCUAGUUGGCGGGGUAACGGCCCACCAAGGCGACGACGGGUAGCUGGUCUGAGAGGAUGAUCAGCCGGACGGGGACUGAGACACGGCCCCGACUCCUUCGGGAGGCAGCAAUGAGGAAUAUUGCGCAAUGGGCGAAAGCCUGACGCAGCGACGCCGCGUGGGUGAGGAAGUUCUUCGGAAUGUAAAGCCCUUUUGUCAGGGACGAAAAGGACGGUACCUGACGAAUAAGCCCCGGCUAACUACGUGCCAGCAGCCGCGGUAAUACGUAGGGGGCAAGCGUUGUCCGGAUUUACUGGGCGUAAAGCGCGUGUAGGCGGAGAAGCAAGUCCGGCCUGAAAGCCCUCGGCUCAACCGAGGAUCCGGGUUGGAAACUGUUUUUCUUGAGGACGGCAGAGGAGUGUGGAAUUCCUGGUGUAACGGUGAAAUGUGUAGAGAUCAGGAGGAACACCGAUGGCGAAGGCAGUACUCUGG